This 7401-nucleotide long non-coding RNA is filed under the name Panax ginseng (ginseng). Its description in RNAcentral is "long non-coding RNA (PGIN_LNC011992)". Lineage: Eukaryota; Viridiplantae; Streptophyta; Magnoliopsida; Apiales; Araliaceae. The record is from RNAcentral.
AUGGUACAAAAUUCAAAUAUAACUUAAUUAUACAACUGUCGUGUAAAAUACGACAAAACAUAUGUUAUGAGUUUUAAUACAAAUAUUGUCAUCUAGACAAUAUCCACACUCAAAUUCAAUCUUAUUAUAUUUACUAUCACACAAUUUCACAGAAUAGUGAGGACUACUAAUGCAACCAUCUGGACCGUCAAUUCAUUCCCCGACCAGUCCCAGCUAUAUUCUUAUUUCCUAAAGAGAAUAGUGAAAGAAAGAGUGAGCUCAACUAGCCAGUAAGAAAUAUUAUGACUAAGAUAAUGCAGAAUAAAUUAUCAUUUGCCUUCAACAGUAUAACAACUGAUAGAAUAUAAUAGACAACAAGGUUUAGAUCAACAACUGCAGCGGAAUAAGCAAUCCAUUAGAAGAGUCAAGUAGAGCAUAAAAUCUACUAUCUUCUAUGAUUUAAAAAGGUUUUCAUCAACUUUAUUGCUGAGACUCAGCUUAAUAAAUAAACUACAUCAUCGAAUCAUCCCUGCACCACGGCCAAGGAUAUUCAUGUAAUCAUCAAUGGUCAUGAUUAUACCGGAUAAUCCUUGGUCAUAAUCAUACCAACAACUGUCCAUCAAUGCACUACAGGCUAAUAAAGACUUUCACCAUAUCAUUCGUCACAUUACGGUCAUUAUUAUACUAAAAAAUCCCUGAUCAUAAUCAUACCAAGUCCAUCUAUGCACGUAAGCCAAAGAUGACUUUCAUCACAAUAUAAGCAUGGGGAUGAUAACAAUGACAUAAUAAUUCAAUAAAACAAGUUCAAGGAUAAAUUUUAAAGAUUUAUAAUUUAAUUUAUCCAGGAAUCAAUAACGUCCAAUUUGUCAACAUGAUACUGCUUUGUGGAGUAAAAUUCAAGAAUAAUAUUGUACCCAAAAAUGAUUUGGACCGAAAAGAAAUAUAUUUUUCGGGUGAAUAGUACCCCGUAAAUAGUACUUCGGGAAUAGUACCCCGUGAAUAGUAUCCCGACACGAAAAGUAUCCCAAAUACCCGAGUGAAUAAUAUUAGAGUGAAUAGUAAUCGGGUGAAUAGUAACCCAUGAAUAGUACUUCGGCACGAAAAGUACUCCGAAUACCCGAGUGAACAAUACUAGAGUGAAUAGUAAUCGGGUGAAUAGUAACCCAUGAAUUGUAACUCGUAAAAAAAAAACCAAAUAAAAUGAUAUUCCAUGACGAGUACAAAAGAAAUGAUGUCUCAUACGAGUAUAAUAGAAUAUACAAAACUGCAAAUGAAUUUUCACCCGCCAUGUGGUAAUCCACGCAGAUAGAUCAUUUCCACAAUUUAAUAAAGAAUGAAUACGAAGAGUCAUUCACCAUGCAUAUGGUAAUCCACAUAGACAGGUUAUUCCAACAGAAUAAUAAAGAAUGGAAUAACAGAAGAAUUCACCAUGCAUGCGAUAGACCGCACAGACAGGAUAUUCCAACAGAAUAAUAAAGAAUAGAACCAGGUCAUGCGUAAUCCGCACAGACAGGAUAUUCCAAUAGAAUAAUAAAGAAUGGAACUAGGUCAUGUGUAAUCCGCACAUUCAAGAUAUUCCAGCAGAAUAAUAAAGAAUGGAAUAACAACAGAAAUCACCAGGCAUGCGAUAGACCGUAUAGACAGAUUAUUCCAACAGAAUAAUAAAGAAUGGAACCAGGUCAUGCGUAAUCCGCACAAACAGGAUAUUCCAGCAAAAUAAUAAAGAAUGAAAUAACAACAGAAUUCACCAGGCAUGCGAUAGACCGCAUAGACAGGUUAUUCCAACAGAAUAAUAAAGAAUGGAAUAACAGAAGAAUUUCACCAUGUAUGCGGUACUUCGCAUAGACGGGUUAUUCCAACAUAAUAAAGAAUGGAAUAACAACCCUUACGAGUAUUGAAAGAAAAUAACUCUCUUUAUGAAUACGAAAGAAUAAUACCCCUUACCUUAGAAGAAACUGGAUACUGGAAUAGUGAGGUAGCAGACUUCUCUUCUUCUUUUUCUCUAUAAUAAUUGCUCUAUAGCUUUAGUGAAUUGGUGAAAAAUAAUAAAGGAAUGAGCUUCUAUUUAUAGGAAAAUAUAGUUUCAAUAAUUGCACGUUUUGGGGCUCGAAAUAUUUCAGUAUAAUACCUUCCUCUUUUUCUUCAUUUUUAAUUUAAUCCUGCAAGUAUUUUCAAACUUGCACCACCUCCCCUAAUAAUAUAUCAUAUUAUGCAGAUGCUAUGUGACAAUAAUUGAAUCAAUAAUAUGAGAGAUAUGAUGCAGCAAUUACUGUAGAAAUAAUUGAGUAUAACUGAGUGACUUCUUACGUAAGCAUCAAUAAUCAAUACCGUGUGUUACUAUGCAACCACGCGUAUUACUGUACUUUUAUUCGUCGUUUAUAAAAUGAUAAUUCUAUCAUUUCUUAACUACGACAAUACUUCCAUUGUGGGGUAUACCAAUGAUUGUGCCGUCGUACGGAUAUUCCCCGACAAAAAAAAUAUUCCCCGACCAAACAAAUAUUUUAUAACAACUUGCUUACUUUAUAAAAUUUAUAAAUAUUACCCACAACUAUAACAUUAUAUCAAAUCCACACCAUAAUAUUCAAAAAAAUAUUUCGAGAAAUUUAAAUCUUUAUUCAUAAAAUUUGGAGUCUCACAUCUCUCAUUCUCUCUCUUAUCUCUUCUCCAUUUUGCUUGUAAACUUGGUUAAAGUAGGUGGCCAAAUAGGAUUGUGACACCUAGUUUGUGUGUGGAAGUAACUUUGACAAAAUGAAUAAAUCACAUGGUCUUAUCUCCUUGUGUUGGCCAGAUUCUUCCCCCCNNNNNNNNNNNNNNNNNNNNNNNNNNNNNNNNNNNNNNNNNNNNNNNNNNNNNNNNNNNNNNNNNNNNNNNNNNNNNNNNNNNNNNNNNNNNNNNNNNNNUUGCUUAAUCAAAUGACUUAAAAGUCCCUCAUUAUAAAAUGGAAAAAAUGGUCAUUCCACCAUAUCUAGGAAAUUUCCUAGAAAUUUUCUUAUAGGACAUAUUCAUCAUUAAUAAUUUUUAUCAAGGGUAUAAUGAUUAUUUGGCCAUUUGCUAGGAAACUUCCUAGAAAUUUCCCUCUAGGAUACAAGGGUCAUUAGUGAGAUUCUUCAAAAGCAAUUUGGUCAUUUAAUCAUUCAAUAGGAAAUUUCCUAGAACACUAUAGUUAUUAAUAAUUCUCUUGGGGUAAAAUAGUCAUUUCCUCAUUACUAGGAAACUUCCUAGCAAUUUCCUCCUAGGACUCAUUGGUCAUUAGUAUCUUUCUCCAAGGGCAAAAGAGUCAACACACCAUUGCUAAGAAACUUCCUAGCAAUUUCGUCCUCGAAGGCAUGUUGGUCAUAAGUCAUUUUCAUUAAGGGUAACAUAGUCAUUUCCCACAAUUUCCUACAUUUAACUCAAGUAUGGUUAGUUCCUAACCAUAAUUAUUCUACUAACACAUGUCCCAUUAUUAGUUGGACCAACACUUGGGCUUCCACUUAGUUUUUUGGGCUCUCUAAUUAAAAUAAUUGGGCCAAGUGAAUUUUCAUGGUCCACUACCUUAAUUUUAUCUUACCCUAAUUAUUUAAUUAGGGUCUCCAUUUCACUCCUUUGAAAUUUAAAUAAUUACUCAUGUACAUAUAAUUUUAUAACCCAAUUAGACUUGCGUUUCUUUUUUUUUUCUCUUUAUAUAAUAAAUAAAUAUAUAUACAUAUUAUAUAUAUAUAUAUAUAUAUAUAUAUAUAUAUAUUUAAUCACAUACAUAGUCCACACAAGUCACAAAGUAUUUAAUGAAUGGAUAAAUAAUUAAUGUAACCUAAUAUUCUUGUAUGAUUAAUUUAAUUAAUCAUUUCUCUUGCUAAAAUAUAUAUAACAUAUCACUAAGUAUAUAUGUACCUAAACAUAUACACAUUCACUUAAUAAUUUUUCCUUAUACAUUAUUAUACAAUCUCUUUCACUAUUUAAUUCACAUAAAUUUUAAAGCUAUCAUAAUACCUUAUUCUUAAUAUACCUCCAAGUAUAAUUCUAUUCUAGGUUUUGAAUUUUUAUAACCCAUAUUUUCUCACUUUUACUCUUUAUCUUCUCAUUUCUUUCAUUCACAUUUAAUUUCUUUGCAUUGCUUAAAAAUUUCAAACCAUAUAGGUUUUUCUCAAAUUUUUUUAAUUAUUCCUCUAUUUCAAGUCUAGGUUUUAUUGUUUAACCUUUAAUUUAUAAGAUUAUUUAUUCGUUCAAGAUAUCUUAUAAAUUUUCCGGUUGUCACACUUAAGCAAGAUUUUUGAGCUUCUUGAAAUUGAUGCACAAAAUAGGUGGUUCAACACAGUUUCUAGUUUUAUUAACUUUGGUCAAUUCUUGCCAAUUUCAUUUCUGGUCUCUUGGGUUCAUUCCAACACUUGAAUUAUUACUAAUUAAGACUAUUUUAAGUAUUUCCUUGACUUUUUAAGCAUAAAUUUUGUUUUGACCAUUUAAACCCAACUUUUUCAAACUUUUACAUAUUAAUUUCUCAAAUUCUUGUAUACAUUAGCAUUCCAACACUUGGAAUAGCCUAGCAUAACUCUAAAUCACUUGUCUAAGGUGUCAAAACUGAGUUUUAAGCAAAAUGGCAAAAUCUAAUUUCACACUAAGAAAAAUAUCCAAAAAUUGUAGUUUGAGUGAUUUUAUAGGCUAGUUUGUUGAUUUGUUUGAAUUUUUGGGUUAAGGUCUUGGCUCAACCAUUUGGCCCUGCUUCUAGACCAUACAUCAAGGUAUUUUAAUCAAGGUUUAGGUUUCUUAUUCAUUUCAUUUAAGCUUCUCAAAACAGUGCCUCAAACUAGUCUGUUUUCUUAACUUUUUGCAAAAACUGCUUUUAACAGUACUUUAUCAUUUUUUUUCCAGUUUUGGUAACUUGGAUAGUCUAGGCAUGUGUAUUUUAGUUUCCUAAGGUUAUUUUUAUCAUUAUCUCACUUUGUUUAGUGUUUUAACCAAUUUUGACCUAUCAAAGCUCACUUUAGGCUUGAAAAAUAGAUCCUAACUUUGUUUUCUUACUAGCUUUGGUUAUGGCAAUGAGUAGUAAUCAUCACAAGCUUGAAUUAGGAACUUCAUAUGAGUUCGUUACAAUCUUAUAAGACCAGGUACUGAAAAUUUCCCAAAACAGUCCACUUUUGGGCUUAAAAUGUGUUUUUUCACAAGUCUAAUGCUCAAAACAGUUUAGGCUUAGUUUCUUUAGCUUGAGUAGUUUACUUAUGCCAUAUUAUAACUAUUAAAACAUGCAUACAUGGUCCAGGUAUUGUAAUUCUAUAGUUGAGUGUUAUUUGACACUUAAUUAAAGCUUAUUUUCAUAGCUUUUAAACUUAAUUUUUUAAUACUACUCAACCUAGAUCCUAACUAACUUAAAGAACAACUUUUAAAUACCUUUUAUGAAAAUAUUAUGGUCUCCUUACUGACUAACAAAUCCAGGUACUGGUUUUGGCUAUGACAGUUCUCUAAUCUAAAGUUUAAGCACAGAUUUGGCCAAUAACCAUAAACAGUCCCAAGCUUUAAUUCAAGGGACUUCUUAAGCAUUCAUAUAAACUUAAAACAUCAUUAUUACAUUCAUUACAUGCUUGUAAUAGUUAGUUGUCUUUCUACUAUCCAAAACAGUCCAUUUAAAGCAUUUUGAGCAUGGUUUAACACUAAAUUAUCUCAACAGUCCCCAAGCCUUCAAUUAUAAUUAUUAUCACCUCAUAUAAUUGCUAUAUACUUUGUAUUCAUGGUUUAAAACUCAAGGGUGCAAGGUUUUAAGUUCUUCGUUCAAAACAACCCUUAAUAGGCUUUAAAUUCUAUAAGAACAUGGUUUAGCAACAUGGUCAACAAUGUUAGCAUGAUUAUGCAACAUAUAUAAGCUUUGACAAAUCUUUUACAUAACCUUUAUCAUGCAUAGCUUUGAUCCUGGUGGCACCAAGCAGUUUACACCCUUCACAGACCUCAAAUAGACAUUCCAGCUAGCUUUCAUGCACACCAAAAUAGUGGCCUGGUUUGGCCUGAUUCAACAGGCCCAAACUGCCAUGUUUUGGCUCUUUUAUCACUUGACAAGGUUACAUAAUUACACUACCAUUAUCCUUCAAGGUUCAGUACAUUUAGACACCAUGUAUAGCAUGAACAUAUCCUUAGAAGUAGGGCAAAUCAAUCAUAUAUGAGCCCCUAAUUAACAGUCCAAAUCUACUUUGUUUUUUUCAUUAACAAAGCUAAAGGUAUACAAGGAACUUUAAAACAUGUUAUACUUAUGUAUAGAGCAUACUGGCUUUUAAAGCUUACUUUACAUAGCAUAUAUACACAUGAAGCUCAAUAAGUUUGCUAGUUGAUGACUUUUCUGCACUUUUGCUACCAUUUCUAGCAUAUUUUUAGGUCACAAUAUAAGCUUCUAACCAUCUAAUAUGGACAGGUUUAAUAGAUGGCUAUAGUAGUCCCAAACUUGGAUUUCUAAGCAUGGAUUCGGCAUACUAACUCAAAACAGCCUCAAGUUUAGUUAAGAUGAAUGUUGAAGCACCUUUGGAACAUGUAAUUGUUAAGAGAUAUGCAUAGCUGAAGUUUAAUCAAUUAUUAGCUAACACAAAACAACCCUCUUUUUACUUAAAUUUUAAGCAUGAAACCACUUAGCUAAUCAAGUUACUCAUAUUCAUUAUCAUAGCAUAUGAACAUGAUUUUGGAGUUGUUUGCAUAGCUAACAUGCCUUUAGCACAACACAGUCAAUACUUAGGCAUUUUAUCAAACAUAUAGGGUGCAGUCCAUAUAUAUAUACACGUAUAGUACGUAUAUUUCUAGUUCUUCAACCCCAGCCUCAUGGCUUUAAAACAAUAACCAAGACAACAAUCAUAAUACCAAUAACAACCAACACAGCUAUGCUAAUUAAAUAACAGUCUGCAUAUUAUUUAUUCAAUGCAAUAACCCAUAAUCAUUGUAACUGUCCAUAAUCAAGCUACCCGACCACUAACAAUUUAUUCUACCAUCAAAAUGAAUAGAAAAGGAAUGAAAAUGGCCUGAGUUGGAUUACCUUGCUGGGAUUCUAAAAAUUUAUGGUGCUGGGCUGCUCCAUUCUUCUUACUUCCCAGCCGGAGAUCUCCAUUUUUUUCUCUUAACUGCUAUUAUUUUUGGAACUCUGAUUAGUGAUGAAGUUAAUUGAUUUCAAGUAAUGUGCUUGGCCAUAUAUGAUUGAGCUUCUAUCAAUCAUCAUCACUCUCUUGUCUGCUAUCUCUUGGCCUCUACCCGGCCCUUACACUGUACCCUACUAUUCUCACCUGACAAGUAUAUUAGCUGCUGCAAUGGCCCCUAUCCAGCCACCUAUCUUGGCCUCUAUAAGGCUUAUAUAUGUGAUAUUUCCCUUUUGCAGACUACUUGCCCCCUAAACCUCUAGCCUUAUCCCAGACACUCUACACCUUAUCCUCAACCAUCCUACAAGUCCCUAGCCUCUAACUGGGUUGUUAACUAACUGUUUAG